This 437-nucleotide long non-coding RNA is filed under the name Gossypium raimondii (Peruvian cotton). Its description in RNAcentral is "long non-coding RNA (GRAI_LNC002831)". The record is from RNAcentral. Lineage: Eukaryota; Viridiplantae; Streptophyta; Magnoliopsida; Malvales; Malvaceae.
AACUUCAAAUUCAGAUCGGGGUUUAAAAAGUUCAAAGAGACUGACUGCGGAAUUUUUCUCUUUUUCGGCCACCGCUGACGGCAGUGCCGGCGGCAGAGAUCAACGGCCGGCGCAGUGGCCAGUGACCGGCCGAUGACCGGACCUAGGUCGGACAUCUGGGGAGAGGGUAGACGGGAGAGCUUUUUGUAGUUUUUUUUUGUUUUUUUAAAGGAGGCUUAAAAUGAAAUUUUGGGAAGGGUAAGUGGCUUAAAUAACCCUUCAAAAUGGCGUCGUUUUGAACCUGGGUUAACCCGAAUCCCGACCCGACCCGGCCUAGGAUACGCGUGUUUUUCAUACGGAGGGGCAAAUUGUGCUUUUGGCCCAUCCGCCUUUUAAUAUAUUUCUAAUUAGGUUUUUUUUGUUUUCGUCCUUUAAUUUAUUUUAAAUUUCAAUUUAAC